Molecule: non-coding RNA, 2038 nt
Organism: Xyrichtys novacula (pearly razorfish)
Lineage: Eukaryota; Metazoa; Chordata; Actinopteri; Labriformes; Labridae
Source: the annotation of a GenBank genome assembly
UGGACAAGUUCUGGAUUUGUUCGGAUCACAUAAAAGCAGAAAACUUGAAAACAACAUGAUCAUCUUUUUCUACCAGACUUUUCUACUUUUACAACAAGGUGCAAAAAAUUUAAAAACAUCAUCAAAAACACAGAAAACUAUUACAAACAACAAUCAUUACCUCGUCUUUACCGUGAAAACAUCUGCCUGUCAAUAAUCGAGUAUAUAAAAGUCCCAAAUACUAAAGACAGGAAUAGAAAUACGUCUGACGGGGAAAAAAAAUCCUUGAACUAAAAAAUUUAAAUUUUUGAGUGUGAUUACGAAGUGUCUGCUGUUCUUUGGCUCAAAAUAGAUUUAUUAUGAAAAUAAAAAGCUGGUUUGAAUUCCUCCAAAGACAAAAAAGCUACAAAUAUAUAAAAAAACAUAUUUGACAUGUUUAUAAAAUUGAGUUUCCUUAAUUAUUCAGUUUAAAUUUUUUGAAAACCAACCCUUGAUUUGAAUUCCUGAAACAAAAGUAAAAAAGGAAAGUGAUUCAACACUCUUGAUUUCCAAGAAUAAAGAGGAAUAGAAAUACAAAUAAAGCCAAAGCCGUGUCCCAGUUCAGGGUCUACAGCCUUAAAAACCAGACUGCAGUCACCCGUCCUCAUGUGGUCCUUCAAAUCUGGGAAAUCCUGUUCGACUUAGUGAACAGAAGACGUGAUGGUCAGGUUUAGGUGCUAGUGGGCCUGCAAGGGUGUGCACUCUGCAGUUCUACAAUAGUGCAGUUCCCCAAGUGUCCACUAGAGGCAAAACUUUUUUUUUUCCUGUCUGAACCAAAGACUGUAUAGACGUUUUAUUCUGAUUUUGAUGCAACGAAAGACAAAGUGAUUUUUCAAUUAAGAGACAUUUUAUCGCAGCUGUGUCAGCGAGAAAACCGUCUAUACAGAAUGGGCGCCCUCUGGUGACGGGCUGCAGUAUAGGUCAUAAAUCCCGCCUCCUCCAGCAAUCCCUAUGGAGCCGUGGACAAACUUUAGAAGUUAAUUACACAGAAUAUAAAUGUUUCUGAUGUUGACAUGUAGUUACUGUCAGACUGGUUUGUGCUCAAGUCCUUUUUUUUCUGUGCAGCUCCAUUUUUAAAAGUUAUUAGGGGGUUCAUGUUUUCUAUGAUUGACACCUGAUUCAGCCUAUGGGCGUAUGAAGAUUACGUCGCUCAUUCGGGGGAUACCCUAUUUGAGCCGAACGUCAUCACAGUGACUCUCCCGCCAAAUGUGUACAACGCUACUGCGCAAGUGGUGGUGAAAAUCCCAGAAAUACAGAGAGCAAUUCGGCUUCAAAUUCGUAUAAUGACAGAAGGCGGAGCCAAGUUGUCCAUAGUCUACAGUCUAUGGUCUGAACAGCUUGAUGAUCCCUGUUAAAGUGUUUUUUUCAAAUAUAUUUAAGUUACAAGAUCGGCGAAUCAGAAGCAGUGCUAACUUGACUGACAGGUAAUCACGCUGUAGCUGAAGACCCGCCUCGGGUAGGUCGACUCAAACUUAGGCCAGCAUUUCCAGCAUGGCAACUACCGCCAACAGGUCUCUGUCAUGUUGAUCCAGCUGGUUUGUGGUCGGCAUGGUUUCUUACUGUAUUUAGAUUCAGUGCGUGUCAGACCAGGUCCCCGGUUCUCUGCAUUAGUACAGGUCUACGUAAACCUACGGCACAGAUUAGGUGGAGAAGUCUAAAUCGGGUUUUCUGUAGACCACAUCACCUUCAGAGGAUCCUGACCCCUGGACUGGGACUCGGCUUUGACCUGCAGUUGGUUUUAUAACAAUUUAAAUCUUUGCAGGUUUGUGUUUAAUACAAACUCCUUUUCAGUGAACAGACUUGAGUAUUUAUUAAACCGUUUCUCCUCCAAUCAGAGUCCAGAACAAACCCAUCACAGGCGGCGCCAAUUAGUGAUCCAUGUGAAAACAAACAUUGCAAAAAGUCCCACUCAUGGAAACAAGGUUUUCAUCAGUAGUUACUUUUGAUUGUGCUAAAGUCGAAUCCUCGCCUACAAACGCCCCAAUAACCACUUUACGAGAAAGUGUCAAACCGUCUCCGA